AAGCUCAUGAAUCAUGAAAAUGCUGAUGUGACCAAGAAUGCUCUUCUCUGCAUCCAGAGGCUUUUCCUUGGUGCCAAAUAUGCUAGCUUCUUACAGUCUUAAGUCAGUGUUGUUCCCAGUGGGACCCAAUCUCUGGUACCAUAUAAAAUGCUCCCCUUACAUUUGGCGAUUCUGUUUGUGUUCAAAAGCCAUCUGAAACAUUGUGGUAGAGUUGAGGUUUUAGAUACCAACCCAAUACUGGUUUGGUAACCUAUCG
RNAcentral lists this long non-coding RNA (256 nucleotides) under Musa acuminata (dwarf banana). Its description in RNAcentral is "long non-coding RNA (MACU_LNC005044)". Lineage: Eukaryota; Viridiplantae; Streptophyta; Magnoliopsida; Zingiberales; Musaceae. The record is from RNAcentral.